GGGACACCGCGGGUGCAUGCUAACACCGCUCAUCAUUAACAGAAACGCCCGAGAAAAACUGAGCGAUUCCUCCGCUCCUGGCGCCACGCAAAAUGCUUCGCAAGGUCCCCAGGGAUGGGGGCGUUCAUUAUCCCCGUUUUGCAGACCUGGAAAUCGAGGUUCCGGGAGGUGAAGCGACUCGCCCCAGGGCUCGCCGCUAGGAGAGGAGGCGCUGGGAACCCGCGCUACUCCCGGAUCCGGGGCGCAAAGCAGGGCGCGGACACUCUCACAAAAACCACGAAGUCUCUUUUCUGGUUUCUUCCGGCCGAGCAACUUUUUAUUUGAGAUCCUACUACACAUCCAGAAAAUAAUCCCACCCAUGGCAAAGAGACCCUAUGGAAUUCAUUUCUGCCCUCCAGAUGUUGGGCGCAGCCACUUGGCGGGCGUUGGUGUUGGUGGGGACUUGCAGGGCAGCCAGCCCACCCUGUGAAGAGAUGCUGGGAAGGAAGAGCUGGAAGGUCCCUUGGAGCUGCAGGUUUUGAAUUGCUCAUCUGGACUUACCAGAGCGGCGACUUCCAGGAUGAUAGCCAGCCACCAGCCUCCUGCGUCUGUUUAUUUCUACAUUAAAUAAAAGGAAAUGCAAUUUGAAAUGCAGC
Molecule: long non-coding RNA, 635 nt
Organism: Canis lupus familiaris (dog)
Lineage: Eukaryota; Metazoa; Chordata; Mammalia; Carnivora; Canidae
Exons: 3
Source: RefSeq, a predicted model, not a curated record